GAACAUCGCUCCAGUGAUGUUUAUAAUCAGAAACUCGCGACAAUGCCGUGAACCAGGCCAUAAGUAUACACAGAAGUUGCAGGCAGUGUUUCAACAGCUUGCUACCCUUCCAUGUCAUCCUUAAUUAGGAAAGCUGGGAAGUGGCAUCGACAGAAAUGUCUCGAAAGAGCUUAUUGGAAAUAUUUCAGGAUAAACAGCGUUGUAUGGUUAUUCGUCGUUGCAAAUAAAGAGAGUAAAGAAGAUAGACGAUUGGAUGCUGCGUAAACGAUGGACAGGAGUUGAAAAGAGUGGUGACAGUAACGUCAUUAUUCUCAAAAAAAAAAAAAAACAGAAUGAAGUAAAAAUAAUUGUCGAUUUUGCGUUUUCAUUUGUAUUCAUGUAUUCGUAAUUUUGUUGGAACUUUAGUCGAUCUAUUAUCAUAUAAAUUGUUUUCAAGUAAAAAAAUUGUAAGGACGCCGGAAAGAUAAAAAUAUAUAGAAUUCCACUUAACAAAAAUUACGAUAGCUUCGAA
Bombus pascuorum is the source of this 511-nucleotide long non-coding RNA. RefSeq lists it as uncharacterized. The transcript is spliced from 2 exons. NCBI's taxonomy places the organism in Eukaryota, Metazoa, Arthropoda, Insecta, Hymenoptera, Apidae. The record is from RefSeq and is a predicted model, not a curated record.